RNAcentral lists this ribosomal RNA (440 nucleotides) under Leptalpheus hendrickxi. Its description in RNAcentral is "partial 16S ribosomal RNA". It matches the Rfam family "Bacterial large subunit ribosomal RNA", at positions 1930 to 2587 of the family's 2925-position model. Lineage: Eukaryota; Metazoa; Arthropoda; Malacostraca; Decapoda; Alpheidae. The record is from RNAcentral.
GGUAUUAAGAAANAGNGAAGGUAGCAUANUCAAUAGUCUCUUAAUUGGAGGCUGGAAUGAACGGUUGGACGGGAANAAAGCUGUCUUGUUUANUUAGAANUGAAUUUGACUUUUGUGUGAAAAGGCAUAAAUGCUUUGGGGGGACGAUAAGACCCUAUAAAACUUAAUAAUUUGAUUGGGUCUUUGAAUUCGGUUUAAUAGGGGCUUGAGUAAGAUUAUUAUGCUGGGGAGGCAGGGAUAAAAAUUUAUUAACUGUUAUGAAAUGAAAAUAAAGAUAAUUAGUUGGUGACCCUUAAUUUAGGUUUAAGAGUUAAAGUUACUUUAGGGAUAACAGCGUAAUUUCUCUUGAGAGUUCAUAUCGACAGAGAUAGUUGCGACCUCGAUGUUGAAUNAAAACUUCCUGUACGAAUAUAAGUUUAUGGGGCAGGUCUGUUCGACNU